Molecule: long non-coding RNA, 222 nt
Filed under: Musa acuminata (dwarf banana)
Lineage: Eukaryota; Viridiplantae; Streptophyta; Magnoliopsida; Zingiberales; Musaceae
Description: long non-coding RNA (MACU_LNC009957)
Source: RNAcentral
UGUAGACAUUAUUUUAUUUUAAUGCAAUCAUAGUCAAGUUAUUGUUUGGUUUUUCGAUAAUACACAUAUUUGAUUCGAAUCUAACGAUAUAACCUUUAUCGCAUAGUUGACUAAUACUAAAGAGAUUAUGUUUCAAUCCAUCAACUAGUAAAACAUCAUCAAUGGAAAAACUAAAUUUGUUACCAAUAGUUCCCUUGCCAAUGAUUUUGCCUUUGUUGUUGU